AGUGGAGCCUACAUGCAGCUGUGUUUAUAAUGAUACUUUCCUUAUCUUUUUUCCACAGACCCCACAGUGAGGAUCUCUCCAAGAAAGGGUCAACCAAGCAGCCAUGACCAAGGCAAAAAGUCAUCACAUUUUGUUCAUGCUACAAGUGCAUAGGAAAUCCAUUCCACAUCUGGACGACUAAAUUGACUGGAGAUACUCAAGCUUUGAAGAAAACACAUUUAUGAAAGAAAACACUGAUGAAGACUCUUCCAGCUUGUAAUCAGUGAGAUCAAACUGAGGAGACACAGAUCAGGGAACUACAUUUUGGCUGCCUGUGUGCUGGAGCCUGGGAAAGAAGGGACCAUCAUUACUGCACCUGCAGAGCAACUGGGCAGAAUGCUGACAUUCAGUGCUCAGACAGCACUACGAUUGGGUACAGCUGCUUUCCACACCGAAGCCAAGCAAGCAGACCCCAGCAAUCCUCCAGUCCCAGCGUGCUUCCCAGCAUCUGACAACACCCAUAAAGGGAGACAUAUCCAGCACUUUUCCAAGGCAAUCACUGAGCCUGCUGUUUGGGCAACCAUAAGGCAAUGCAUCUGUGCAGGAAGAACUCCGAAGAUUCCCGUGGCUUGGCUGCCACAAUUCUGCUUAUGAAGCAACUCCUUCUCCCAGCUGCUUGAGGCUCCUGGGAUGCUGUACAGCAAUUUAAAUUAC
Molecule: long non-coding RNA, 693 nt
Organism: Trachemys scripta elegans
Lineage: Eukaryota; Metazoa; Chordata; Testudines; Emydidae
Exons: 4
Source: RefSeq, a predicted model, not a curated record